CUCGUAGGCUGGAGCUCGGGCGAGCCUGAGACAGGGGCCUGGAGCUCGGGCUUGGGCUCAGGCGAGCCUGAGGCUCUGGAAAGGGGGGAGGGGCAAUUCCCCACCUGUUUUCUCAACCCCAACUGUCCCCAAACCACGUCCCCUGCUGGCUGGCCCGUAAGGACUCACGAGAAGAUGGACUCGGCUCUGGGGUCGGCCGGGCCGUGGGGUCACACCUGCGGCUGCCCUCCUCCCCUGUCAUGCUGGUAACGACAUCUCCGUCUCCUCCUCGUGGGACUCCGAGACUUGGGGUUCUUGGGGGGCACCCGCUCCCCUGAGAGUGGGUUACUGCUGGUCCCCAGCUCAGCCACGGACGCCAUGGGAUCACUCACGUAGGCCUUGGUAGACGAGGGAAACCUGUGCUAGUGUCACAAUACUGAGAUAUGCAUCAAGGGGAAAGGAAUAUAACAAAACAAUAGUGCAAGAAAGGAGAGAUGGACAAAGAGGAAGGUAUUUGCUAUGGGAGUGCCUGCUGUAAUGGAGGAGUGCUGGUGGAUACAUUCAUGGCAUAGUAACAACUGAACUAAAGGAAGACAAUUCUAAAGGAAGAAACCAGCUGCUUAUUUGUCAACAGGUAAAAACAAAAAAAAAUAUUUUCUGAUAAAAGGUCACUAAUUUUAAGUAUUUCUGAUUCUAGAAACACUUCCCCCGCCUCCCACCACCUACAACAAAUUUCAGUUAUAGCUCACUUGAUUGCAUCCAUCCAUACACACUCCUUACACUGUAUUAGUAAUGUUACUGAUUAAUAGAGCAUCAAUUUGUAUCCAGACUUAGACUUUCCCAAAAGAAGAUUUUAUCAAGAUGGGAAAUCUUAUUUUUUCAUGUGAUACUUUAAAUCAACUUUGCUGCUUCAUCCUCCCUUUCCCUCUGUUUUUCUCCCUCUCUGUCUUUUUCCACUGUGGCAAAAAAUUAUGAAAAAAAAUGUUUUUUGUUAUUCAAAUGGAAAACAGCAUGGCAAUGCUUCCAACAAAUGUCAAUGCAAAAGGCUAACUGUACUGUACUCAGUUUCAAAUAUGCAUCCUACUACAAUAGCUCUUUUAACAUCAGUUCCAUCAAUGGCUCUUUUACUAAAAUGUCCAUACAGCAAGAUUCAGAAUGAACAGAGCUUUGGUUUGAUGGCAAUGAAAGUUUUGGCUGUUUUGUGACUCGUUAACUAAUCACAUUCUCAUUUACAGAGCACAAGUUCAAAGGGUCAGCUAAAAUAAUAGGUUAAUUGCUGUCUUCAGAGGAAGACCUUAUUGUUCUAGUUGACCAAUUGCUAUAAUACCUUCUGUAAAAAAUUACUCUCAGUGAUAGAAAACUAUUUUCAUCUCACUAAACUCUGUAUUCAGCUGGCUAGACAGUGUUGCAUUACAUGCUUAUAUGCCUUUGUUCCCCUGUGACAAAUGAUAUUUCUUCUUCACAUAUCACUCUUGGUCAGCUGUGAGAAUGUGGAAUAUAUAUUUUUGUAAUCCUAUUGCUCAAAUAUCUAAAAAGGCUUUUUCCUAUUGAAGCACAAAACUGGUAUUAUAGGCAUAGGCAUGAUGCUGGCUAGACACUUGCUCAGGGGAGCAGGGGGCACAAGGUGCAUCCUUACUCCUUGGCAUAUCCGUAAUGCCAGUAGCAGUGCAGGGGGAGGGUGGGAGAACCUUCCAUAGGGCCGCUGUCACCCUUUCUGGGCAAGUGGGUAGAGAUGGGCAAGAAGAGGGCAGAGCCUCUCCCCCAGUGCAUCCCCCAGUACAGCUGAUCUAGAGUGGAGAGGGAAGGAAUCUGCCAGGUAUAGGUCUGGUGCAGAUAAUUUCCCCUUGGUGUAAGGGGACACCACGGAUGCUCAGUGAGGCAAAAUCUGGUUCUGCACUGCCCUUUACACAGGGCUUUUAGCAAAGUCACAGUCUAGCUCAGUAGUCCCCAAAUUAUGGGGCGUGCCCCUGAGAGUGUCAUGGAGAAAUGUUCAGGGGGUGCGUGGCGGGGCCCGGGCCAGUCCUCAUGUUGGGAGCACCUCCCAGCCCUGUUCCCAGUCAUACUCCACUCCACCCCCAGUCCAGCUCUGGUCCCAGUCGGAGCACCAUUCCACCCCUUACCCAGCUCCCACCCCAUCCAAAGCUCUCUCCGGCCCCAGCCCAGCUCUGCCCUCCUUCCCUCUCCACCCCCAGGCCAGUUCCACCUCUAGCCCCGGCUCCUCCUCCGGCCCCAGCUCCGCCUUCAGCCCAAAUUCUUCUGCUGAGCCAACUGUACUGUAAUGGGGUUGUGGGGGGAGGUCACAGACAGAUUCCAUUACUGGUAAGGGGGGGAGGCGUAACAGGAAUAGUUUGGCCACCACUGAUAGCUCUUUAUGGACAUUUCUUUCCAUACAGAAGGAGGUGAUGCAUGCAGGGCCGGCUCCAGGGUUGUGGCCGCCCCAAGCAGCCAAAAAAAAAAA
Molecule: long non-coding RNA, 2437 nt
Organism: Chrysemys picta bellii (western painted turtle)
Lineage: Eukaryota; Metazoa; Chordata; Testudines; Emydidae
Source: RefSeq, a predicted model, not a curated record